GGGUUGUGAGGUUAAGCGACUAAGCGUACACGGUGGAUGCCCUGGCAGUCAGAGGCGAUGAAGGACGUGCUAAUCUGCGAAAAGCGCCGGCGAGGUGAUAUGAACCUUUGACCCGGCGAUGUCCGAAUGGGGAAACCCAGUGCAAUCCGUUGCACUAUCGUUAACUGAAUACAUAGGUUAACGAGGCGAACCGGGGGAACUGAAACAUCUAAGUACCCCGAGGAAAAGAAAUCAACCGAGAUUCCCCCAGUAGCGGCGAGCGAACGGGGAGCAGCCCGGAGUCUGAAUCAGCUUGUGUGUUAGUGGAACGGUCUGGAAAGUCCGACGGUACAGGGUGAUAGUCCCGUACACGAAAAUGCACAUGCUGUGAACUCGAAGAGUAGGGCGGGACACGUGGUAUCCUGUCUGAAUAUGGGGGGACCAUCCUCCAAGGCUAAAUACUCCUGACUGACCGAUAGUGAACCAGUACCGUGAGGGAAAGGCGAAAAGAACCCCGGCGAGGGGAGUGAAAAAGAACCUGAAACCGUGUACGUACAAGCAGUGGGAGCCUCUUUAUGGGGUGACUGCGUACCUUUUGUAUAAUGGGUCAGCGACUUAUAUUCUGUAGCAAGGUUAACCGUAUAGGGGAGCCGAAGGGAAACCGAGUCUUAACUGGGCGUUAAGUUGCAGGGUAUAGACCCGAAACCCGGUGAUCUAGCCAUGGGCAGGUUGAAGGUUGGGUAACACUAACUGGAGGACCGAACCGACUAAUGUUGAAAAAUUAGCGGAUGACCUGUGGCUGGGGGUGAAAGGCCAAUCAAACCGGGAGAUAGCUGGUUCUCCCCGAAAGCUAUUUAGGUAGCGCCUCGUGAACUCAUCUUCGGGGGUAGAGCACUGUUUCGGCUAGGGGGCCAUCCCGGCUUACCAACCCGAUGCAAACUACGAAUACCGAAGAAUGUUAUCACGGGAGACACACGGCGGGUGCUAACGUCCGUCGUGAAGAGGGAAACAACCCAGACCGCCAGCUAAGGUCCCAAAGUCAUGGUUAAGUGGGAAACGAUGUGGGAAGGCACAGACAGCCAGGAUGUUGGCUUAGAAGCAGCCAUCAUUUAAAGAAAGCGUAAUAGCUCACUGGUCGAGUCGGCCUGCGCGGAAGAUGUAACGGGGCUAAACCAUGCACCGAAGCUGCGGCAGCGACACUAUGUGUUGUUGGGUAGGGGAGCGUUCUGUAAGCCGUUGAAGGUGUGCUGUGAGGCAUGCUGGAGGUAUCAGAAGUGCGAAUGCUGACAUAAGUAACGAUAAAGCGGGUGAAAAGCCCGCUCGCCGGAAGACCAAGGGUUCCUGUCCAACGUUAAUCGGGGCAGGGUGAGUCGACCCCUAAGGCGAGGCCGAAAGGCGUAGUCGAUGGGAAACAGGUUAAUAUUCCUGUACUUGGUGUUACUGCGAAGGGGGGACGGAGAAGGCUAUGUCAGCCGGGCGACGGUUGUCCCGGUUUAAGCAUGUAGGCGGAGGUUCCAGGUAAAUCCGGUACCUUAUUAACGCUGAGGUGUGAUGACGAGGCACUACGGUGCUGAAGUGAUAAAUGCCCUGCUUCCAGGAAAAGCCUCUAAGCAUCAGGUAACACGAAAUCGUACCCCAAACCGACACAGGUGGUCAGGUAGAGAAUACCAAGGCGCUUGAGAGAACUCGGGUGAAGGAACUAGGCAAAAUGGUGCCGUAACUUCGGGAGAAGGCACGCUGAUGUGUAGGUGAAGCCCCUGCGGGCGGAGCUGAAAUCAGUCGAAGAUACCAGCUGGCUGCAACUGUUUAUUAAAAACACAGCACUGUGCAAACACGAAAGUGGACGUAUACGGUGUGACGCCUGCCCGGUGCCGGAAGGUUAAUUGAUGGGGUUAGCGGCAACGCGAAGCUCUUGAUCGAAGCCCCGGUAAACGGCGGCCGUAACUAUAACGGUCCUAAGGUAGCGAAAUUCCUUGUCGGGUAAGUUCCGACCUGCACGAAUGGCGUAAUGAUGGCCAGGCUGUCUCCACCCGAGACUCAGUGAAAUUGAACUCGCUGUGAAGAUGCAGUGUACCCGCGGCAAGACGGAAAGACCCCGUGAACCUUUACUAUAGCUUGACACUGAACACUGGUCCUUGAUGUGUAGGAUAGGUGGGAGGCUUUGAAGCGUGGACGCCAGUCUGCGUGGAGCCAACCUUGAAAUACCACCCUUUAAUGGCUGGUGUUCUAACGUAGACCCGUAAUCCGGGUUGCGGACAGUGUCUGGUGGGUAGUUUGACUGGGGCGGUCUCCUCCCAAAGAGUAACGGAGGAGCACGAAGGUUGGCUAAUCCUGGUCGGACAUCAGGAGGUUAGUGCAAUGGCAUAAGCCAGCUUGACUGCGAGCGUGACGGCGCGAGCAGGUGCGAAAGCAGGUCAUAGUGAUCCGGUGGUUCUGAAUGGAAGGGCCAUCGCUCAACGGAUAAAAGGUACUCCGGGGAUAACAGGCUGAUACCGCCCAAGAGUUCAUAUCGACGGCGGUGUUUGGCACCUCGAUGUCGGCUCAUCACAUCCUGGGGCUGAAGUAGGUCCCAAGGGUAUGGCUGUUCGCCAUUUAAAGUGGUACGCGAGCUGGGUUUAGAACGUCGUGAGACAGUUCGGUCCCUAUCUGCCGUGGGCGCUGGAGAAUUGAGGGGGGCUGCUCCUAGUACGAGAGGACCGGAGUGGACGCAUCACUGGUGUUCGGGUUGUCAUGCCAAUGGCACUGCCCGGUAGCUAAAUGCGGAAGAGAUAAGUGCUGAAAGCAUCUAAGCACGAAACUUGCCCCGAGAUGAGUUCUCCCUGAGACUUUAAGUCUCCUGAAGGAACGUUGAAGACGACGACGUUGAUAGGUCGGGUGUGUAAGCGCAGCGAUGCGUUGAGCUAACCGAUACUAAUGAACCGUGAGGCUUAACCUUACAACGCCGAAGGUGUUU
RNAcentral lists this ribosomal RNA (2932 nucleotides) under Enterobacter cloacae. Its description in RNAcentral is "bacterial LSU rRNA". It matches the Rfam family "Bacterial large subunit ribosomal RNA". The record is from RNAcentral. Lineage: Bacteria; Pseudomonadati; Pseudomonadota; Gammaproteobacteria; Enterobacterales; Enterobacteriaceae. RNAcentral also lists the same sequence under 2 other names.